RNAcentral lists this unclassified non-coding RNA (321 nucleotides) under uncultured fungus. RNAcentral's name for it is "partial contains small subunit ribosomal RNA, internal transcribed spacer 1, and 5.8S ribosomal RNA". The stretch from base 1 to 73 matches the Rfam family "Eukaryotic small subunit ribosomal RNA", at positions 1759 to 1831 of the family's 1831-position model. The record is from RNAcentral. Lineage: Eukaryota; Fungi.
ACAAACUUGGUCAUUUAGAGGAAGUAAAAGUCGUAACAAGGUUUCCGUAGGUGAACCUGCGGAAGGAUCAUUAUCAGUAUAAAAUUAAAGCUUUAGCUUUAAUUUUUACUCCUUCAUCCUAUGAUUAAUUUACCACAGUUGCUUUGGUUGAAUCAGUUGAAUUAAUUUCAACGAUCAGUUUUGAACUGAUUAGUUAUUCAACCAAUAGCCUUAAUUCAAACUCUUGUUUAAAAUAUAAUGUCUGAACAAUUAAAUCUUAAAAAUUUAAUUAAAACUUUCAACAACGGAUCUCUUGGUUCUGGCAUCGAUGAAGAACGCAGC